UCUUCUCCAGAUAAUUUUACAUAUGAGGAAACUGAGGCAAACAGGUAUAAGUGACUUGCCUGGGGUCACCCAGGUAAUAAGUAAGGCCAGAUUUAAACUGGGGAAGAUGAGUCUUACUGACUCCAGGCCCAGCUCUCUAUCCAGUAUAACCAUCUAACUGCUCCAUGAGGAAUUGAAUUGAUAUAACUUCUGAGAAACAGUGUGAUGGAACUGUUCAUUAAUUUGACCAAAGAAUCCCAUUACUGCAGACCCCUAGGAAGUCAAAGACAGAAAAGUCUAAUAGCAUUUGUGAUCAUCAAAACAAUCUCCUUUCUUUCACGAUAGACUUUCUCCCUUGUUGAGAGAGAAAUUGUCCUUGCCAUAGUUGUGAAUACAUAUUCUCUAAUUUUUUUUAAAGUGACAUUUUAUGUUCAAGCCUAGGAAGCUUCUACCAGACACAUGGCUUUUCCCCAUUCAUAUGAUACUUCCAGGGCUAGCCCAUAUGAGUUAUUUGCUUCCUAUUUCCCACCUCCAUCUCCUUCUCAAGGGGCCAAACUACCAAGUGGCCAAGUUGAUAGGAAACAGACACCUGAGCCAGCAGGACCAAUUUAGGCAUCUGUCAAUCCUACUUCCCCAUCUUCAGCUCAGAAGGACAGGUUCCAGUCCCUCUAAGUCACCAAAAACCAAGGCUUCUUUCCCCAGAUAGUCAAGAGCAUCUCACUUUGGCCAACUUGCCACUGGCUGGCCAUUUGGCCAGGUUUCAAGUAGGGAGAUAAGCAUUUCAUUUAGCACCUACUAUGUACCAGGCACUACGCUAAAUGCUUUUUUAAAAAUGUUCUCAUUUUAUUCUCACAAAAUCCCUGGGAGAGCCAUACCACUGCUGGACCUGUACCCCUAAGAGAUAAUAAGGGAAAAGACCUCUACAAAAAUAUUUAUAACCCUUUUUGUGGUGGCAAAAAAAUGGGAAAAUGAUGGGAUGCCCUUCAAUUGGGGAAUGGCUGAACAAAUUGUAGUAUAUGUUGGUGAUGGAAUACUAUUGUGCUAAAAGGAAUAAUAAAGUGGAGGAAUUCCAUGUGAACUGGAAUGACCUCCAGGAAGUGAUGCAGAGCGAGAGGAGCAGAACCAGGAGAACAUUGUACACAGACUGAUACACUGUGGUACAAUCUAAUGUAAUGGACUUCUCUACUAGCAGCAAUGCAAUGAUCCAGGACAAUACAGAGGAACUUAUGAGAAAGAACACUAUCCAUAUUCAGAGGAAGAACUAUGUUCAAUGAGGUUCAGCACCAACUUUCUCCUCUCAGGGAUGUGACCCUCUCAAGUAAGAAGACUUUUCCUUGGUCCAAUACAGUGGUUCCUUAUGAAGGGAAAGAGGGUGAAUUGGAGUGGGAAUAGCCUAGUGGUAGGGAGGCCAAUUAAGAGGCUAUUACAAGGGUUAGUCUGAAACAGAGUGUCUGGAGACUUCUUUGUUCAUCUUUAUAUCUGCCCCACAGCCUGUAUAUAAUAAAUGUUUGUUGAAUUAGA
Long non-coding RNA from Monodelphis domestica (gray short-tailed opossum), 1500 nucleotides. RefSeq lists it as uncharacterized. The record is from RefSeq and is a predicted model, not a curated record. NCBI's taxonomy places the organism in Eukaryota, Metazoa, Chordata, Mammalia, Didelphimorphia, Didelphidae.